UUUUCGGAGAGUUUGAUCCUGGCUCAGGACGAACGCUGGCGGCGUGCCUAAUACAUGCAAGUCGAGCGAACAGAAGGGAGCUUGCUCCCGGAUGUUAGCGGCGGACGGGUGAGUAACACGUGGGUAACCUGCCUGUAAGACUGGGAUAACUCCGGGAAACCGGAGCUAAUACCGGAUAGUUCCUUGAACCGCAUGGUUCRAGGAUGAAAGACGGUUUCGGCUGUCACUUACAGAUGGACCCGCGGCGCAUUAGCUAGUUGGUGGGGUAAUGGCUCACCAAGGCGACGAUGCGUAGCCGACCUGAGAGGGUGAUCGGCCACACUGGGACUGAGACACGGCCCAGACUCCUACGGGAGGCAGCAGUAGGGAAUCUUCCGCAAUGGACGAAAGUCUGACGGAGCAACGCCGCGUGAGUGAUGAAGGUUUUCGGAUCGUAAAGCUCUGUUGUUAGGGAAGAACAAGUGYGAGAGUAACUGCUCGCACCUUGACGGUACCUAACCAGAAAGCCACGGCUAACUACGUGCCAGCAGCCGCGGUAAUACGUAGGUGGCAAGCGUUGUCCGGAAUUAUUGGGCGUAAAGGGCUCGCAGGCGGUUUCUUAAGUCUGAUGUGAAAGCCCCCGGCUCAACCGGGGAGGGUCAUUGGAAACUGGGAAACUUGAGUGCAGAAGAGGAGAGUGGAAUUCCACGUGUAGCGGUGAAAUG
RNAcentral lists this ribosomal RNA (704 nucleotides) under Bacillus pumilus. Its description in RNAcentral is "bacterial SSU rRNA". It matches the Rfam family "Bacterial small subunit ribosomal RNA", at positions 1 to 688 of the family's 1533-position model. The record is from RNAcentral. Lineage: Bacteria; Bacillati; Bacillota; Bacilli; Caryophanales; Bacillaceae.